AUCCAUGUUAAGUUCUUCAAAUCUAGCUCUGGUAAUAGUUGUGUAAAAAUCAAUACAGCUAUAAAGGGAAACAAUCUCAAUUGUAGUUUGAGAAGCGGAUGAAAGAGUCCUCUUGGCCCUCUCACAAGCGGUCCUUAACCUCCUCAAUGCUCUUGGGUUACCACUAAUAUCCUUCUUAUGCCUCCUCUUAAACUCCUUAAUGAAGUGGUUC
RNAcentral lists this unclassified non-coding RNA (211 nucleotides) under Hevea brasiliensis (rubber tree). Lineage: Eukaryota; Viridiplantae; Streptophyta; Magnoliopsida; Malpighiales; Euphorbiaceae. The record is from RNAcentral.